RNAcentral lists this ribosomal RNA (500 nucleotides) under uncultured bacterium. RNAcentral's name for it is "partial 16S ribosomal RNA". It matches the Rfam family "Bacterial small subunit ribosomal RNA", at positions 28 to 506 of the family's 1533-position model. The record is from RNAcentral.
GACGAACGCUGGCGGCGUGCUUAACACAUGCAAGUCGAACGGUGAAGCACCUUCCUUUUGGUGGGUGUGGAUGAGUGGCGAACGGGUGAGUAACACGUGAGUAACCUGCCCCCUUCUUCUGGAUAACCGCAUGAAAGUGUGGCUAAUACGGGAUAUUCUGUGCCUGCUGCAUGGUGGGUGUGGGAAAGAUGCGCUUUUGGGUGUUUUUGGUGGGGGAUGGGCUCGCGGCCUAUCAGCUUGUUGGUGGGGUGAUGGCCUACCAAGGCGGUGACGGGUAGCCGGCCUGAGAGGGUGGACGGUCACACUGGGACUGAGACACGGCCCAGACUCCUACGGGAGGCAGCAGGGGGGAAUAUUGCACAAUGGGCGCAAGCCUGAUGCAGCGACGCCGCGUGAGGGAUGGAGGCCUUCGGGUUGUAAACCUCUUUCGCCAGUGAAGCAGGCCUGUCCCUUGUGGGUGGGUUGACGGUAGCUGGAUAAGAAGCGCCGGCUAACUACGU